GACGAACGCUGGCGGCGUGCUUAACACAUGCAAGUCGAACGGAAAGGCCCUGCUUUUGUGGGGUGCUCGAGUGGCGAACGGGUGAGUAACACGUGAGUAACCUGCCCUUCACUUUGGGAUAACUUCAGGAAACUGGGGCUAAUACCGGAUAGGAGCCCCUGCUCCAUGGUGGGGGUUGGAAAUUUUCGGCGGUUGGGGAUGGACUCGCGGCUUAUCAGCUUGCUGGUGGGGUAGUGGCUUACCCAGGCUUUGACGGGUAGCCGGCCUGAGAGGGUGGACGGGGACAAGGGUACUGCGAGACGGCCCAGACGGGAACGGGAGGCAGCGGGGGGGAAUAUGGCACAGUGGGCGGGAGCCUGAGGCAGCAGCGCUGGGUGCGGGAUGACGGUUUGUGGGUUGAAAACCGCUUUAGCCUGAGACGAAGCGUGAGUGACGGUAAUGGGUAAAGAAGCACCGGCUAACUACGUG
This 468-nucleotide ribosomal RNA is filed under the name uncultured bacterium. RNAcentral's name for it is "partial 16S ribosomal RNA". It matches the Rfam family "Bacterial small subunit ribosomal RNA", at positions 28 to 507 of the family's 1533-position model. The record is from RNAcentral.